RNAcentral lists this ribosomal RNA (497 nucleotides) under uncultured bacterium. Its description in RNAcentral is "partial 16S ribosomal RNA". It matches the Rfam family "Bacterial small subunit ribosomal RNA", at positions 28 to 507 of the family's 1533-position model. The record is from RNAcentral.
GAUGAACGCUGGCGGCGUGCCUAAUACAUGCAAGUCGAGCGAACAGGCGAGGAGCUUGCUCCUCUGACGUUAGCGGCGGACGGGUGAGUAACACGUGGAUAACCUACCUAUAAGACUGGUAUAACUUCGGGAAACCGGAGCUAAUACCGGAUAAUAUAUUGAACCGCAUGGUUCAAUAGUGAAAUACGGUUGUGCGGUCACUUAUAGAUGGAUCCGCGCUGCAUUAGCUAGUUGGUAAGGUAACGGCUUACCAAGGCAACGAUGCGUAGCCGACCUGAGAGGGGGAUCGGCCACACUGGAACUGAGACACGGUCCAGACUACUACGGGAGGCAGCAGUAGGGAAUCUUACGCAAUGGGCGAAAGCUUGACGGAGCAACGGCGCGUGAGUGAUGAAGGUCUUCGGAUCGUAAAACUCUGUUAUUAGGGAAGAACAAAUGUGUAAGUAAAUAUGCACGUCUUGACGGUACCUAAUCAGAAAGCCACGGCUAACUACGUG